RNAcentral lists this ribosomal RNA (900 nucleotides) under Lacticaseibacillus paracasei. Its description in RNAcentral is "bacterial SSU rRNA". It matches the Rfam family "Bacterial small subunit ribosomal RNA", at positions 488 to 1386 of the family's 1533-position model. Lineage: Bacteria; Bacillati; Bacillota; Bacilli; Lactobacillales; Lactobacillaceae. The record is from RNAcentral.
AAGCCACGUUUAAUUACGUGCCAGCAGCCGCAGUUAAUAAGUAGGUGGCAAGCUUUAUCUGGAUUUACUGGGCGUAAAGCGAGCGCAGGUUGUUUUUUUAAGUCUGAUGUGACAGCCCUGGGAUUAACCGAGGAAGCGCAUCGGAAACUGGGAAACUUGAGUGCAGAAGAGGACAGUGGAACUCCAUGUGCAGCGGUGAAAUGCGUAGAUAUAUGGAAGAACACCAGUGGCGAAGGCGGCUGUCUGGUCUGUAACUGACGCUGAGGCUCGACAGCAUGGGUAGCGAACAGGAUUAGAUACCCUGGUAGUCCAUGCCGUAAACGAUGAAUGCUAGGUGUUGGAGGGUCUCCGCCCUUCAGUGCCGCAGCUAACGCAUUAAGCAUUCCGCCUGGGGAGUACGACCGCAAGGUUGAAACUCAAAGGAAUUGACGGGGGCCCGCACAAGCGGUGGAGCAUGUGGUUUAAUUCGAAGCAACGCGAAGAACCUUACCAGGUCUUGACAUCUUUUGAUCACCUGAGAGAUCAGGUUUCCCCUUCGGGGGCAAAAUGACAGGUGGUGCAUGGUUGUCGUCAGCUCGUGUCGUGAGAUGUUGGGUUAAGUCCCGCAACGAGCGCAACCCUUAUGACUAGUUGCCAGCAUUUAGUUGGGCACUCUAGUAAGACUGCCGGUGACAAACCGGAGGAAGGUGGGGAUGACGUCAAAUCAUCAUGCCCCUUAUGACCUGGGCUACACACGUGCUACAAUGGAUGGUACAACGAGUUGCGAGACCGCGAGGUCAAGCUAAUCUCUUAAAGCCAUUCUCAGUUCGGACUGUAGGCUGCAACUCGCCUACACGAAGUCGGAAUCGCUAGUAAUCGCGGAUCAGCACGCCGCGGUGAAUACGUUCCCGGGCCUUGUAC